UGGGGAAUAUUGGACAAUGGGGGCAACCCUGAUCCAGCAAUGCCGCGUGAGUGAUGAAGGCCUUCGGGUUGUAAAGCUCUUUUGCCAGGGACGAUGAUGACGGUACCUGGAGAAUAAGCCCCGGCUAACUUCGUGCCAGCAGCCGCGGUAAUACGAAGGGGGCGAGCGUUGUUCGGAAUUACUGGGCGUAAAGGGCGCGUAGGCGGUUUGGCGAGUCAGGCGUGAAAUUCCCGGGCUUAACCUGGGGGCUGCGCUUGAUACUGCCGGGCUUGAAUUCGGGAGAGGAUGGCGGAAUUCCCAAUGUAGAGGUGAAAUUCGUAGAUAUUGGGAAGAACACCGGUGGCGAAGGCGGCCAUCUGGCCCGGGAUUGACGCUGAGGCGCGAAAGCGUGGGGGAGCAAACAGGAUUAGAUACCCCGGUAGUCCACGCCGUAAACGAUGAGUGCUAGACGUUGGCGGGCUUGCCCGUCAGUGUCGCAGCUAACGCAUUAAGCACUCCGCCUGGGGA
This 507-nucleotide ribosomal RNA is filed under the name uncultured Pseudomonadota bacterium. Its description in RNAcentral is "bacterial SSU rRNA". It matches the Rfam family "Bacterial small subunit ribosomal RNA", at positions 355 to 879 of the family's 1533-position model. The record is from RNAcentral. Lineage: Bacteria; Pseudomonadati; Pseudomonadota.